Molecule: small RNA, 717 nt
Filed under: Pongo abelii (Sumatran orangutan)
Lineage: Eukaryota; Metazoa; Chordata; Mammalia; Primates; Hominidae
Description: retained intron
Rfam family: Small nucleolar RNA SNORD24 (bases 168-249)
Source: RNAcentral
CUUUUCGAGGUGGGAGUCUACUGAGGUGAGGUAUGGUGCUGGGUGCAGAUGCAAUGUGGCUCUGGAUAGCACCUUAUGGACAGUUGUGUCCCAAAGGAAGGAUGAGAAUAGCUACUGAAGUAAGUUGAAAAUCUUUAAAUCUCAAAAAGAUUUAAAGCCAUUGGAUGUGCCACAAUGAUGACAGUUUAUUUGCUACUCUUGAGUGCUAGAAUGAUGAGGAUCUUAACCACCAUUAUCUUAACUGAGGCACCCAAAAUGGUGAUUUGGGGAACAGAGAGAGUACACCUAAGUUCACACGAAGUUGUUUCUUCCCAGGUCCUAAAGAGCAAGCCUAACUCAAGCCAUUGGCACACCGGCAUUAGACAGAAAACUGGAAGUUGAAAUGGUGGAGUCCAACUUGUCUGGACCAGCUUAAUGGUUCUGCUCCUGGUAACGUUUUUAUCCACGGAUGGCUUGCUUGGGUAAGGACGUGAAGACAGUUCCUGUCAUACCUUUUUUAAAGGUAUGGAGAGUCGGCUUGACUACACUGUGUGGAGCAAGUUUUAAAGAAGCAAAGGACUCAGAAUUCAUGCUUGAAGAAAUGCAGGCAGACCUGUUAUCCUAAACUAGGGUUUUUAAUGACCACGACAAGCAAGCAUGCAGCUUACUGCUUGAAAGGGUCUUGCCUCACCCAAGCUGGAGUGCAGUGGCCUCUGAAGCUUACUACAGCCUCAAACU